AACAAAUAUAAAUUAAAUUAGAUCUCUCUGGAGCUGUUGCUCAUUGUACAUUUAGAUAAUAGUGUAGGUUUAGAUUUAAUUGCCUCCUUUGGUUUCUGAAAUCAUGUUUUCAUGCAGGCUGUAAGCAGAGCUAUUAAUACUUUGUGAAUAUAGAGUGCUGUAUCAAAGGGGAACUGGUAAUCAGCUAUAGGCUCGUAAUGGUAUACGACACUCAUUGCCGCCUUUAACCAAUGCUCCCUUUCCGUUCGUAUCUCCUUUUCCAUGGUUUCCUUUUAUUCCAGUUUCAUUAGUAAGCAUGAACAUAGCACAUUAAUGGAUUCUGAAUCAACUCGUCAACGUACAGUGGGAAUGUCAGAGUUGGUGUUGAAAGCGUUGAAAUUAGCAGUUGAUUUAAAUGUUUGAUUUGAACUCAUGAUAUUUAUUCAAUGUUUUGUGUGAACUGUUUUCCCUUUAGUCUCAACAUACACUAAAUGCUGCUCCAGCUUUGAGAUCACUGUGUUUUAGUGUGAAAGAUCUCUUUGGCAUCUAGACCUAUUCCAGGUAACCACUUCACUCUUGUCUGGGUUCAUUUGUUCCCGGCAGAAGUUAAACUAUUUCUAUUAUCGUGGAUGUGGGUUAGUGCCUCUCCUGCACCUCAAGUAUUGUAAACAUAUCAUGCAGUGCUCCACAUUGGUCUGGUACAGUAUAUCUCUGGCCGUUCUGUAGUUAGGAGUCCUCCGCCCUGUUUGACCUAACCAACUGUAUUCUCUUCAUGAUGGGAUACUAAAGCGGUGUGCCACUAUAAAAAUGUGGAUUUGCAUUGAAAUUAGCGUUAUUUUUGAACACCUGAUAGUACUAGGUGUCUGUGCUCCAUGAGUCCAACUGCUGUAGAGACUGUUUUAUGAUUUUUGGAAUCCUGGAUGUGACACUGUUGUCCAAAGGUUUAUCAAAGGUUUAUCAAAGGUAUAUCUGCGUGGCAGAAAUAAAAUAUGGAACGUGUAUCAUUCAAUGCAGUAUGUAAUUCACCUGGUUACACUGUAGAGAAAUAUCUGACAAUAAAUAGUAGUCUUCUUGUUAAGAUGUAGAAUUCAAUAGUUCACCUAUUGCUUUAGGGAUGAGAGGUGGUGACACAUUGAUGCUGUCUAUGCAGUCAUUGCUAUUUUCAGUCUCCUUUAGUAAGGCUGACUUAUACAUUUAUGUGUUAUUGUUGCCAGUUUCUGUAAAAAAACAACAACAACAAAUGAACCCAUUUCUGCUCAAAUACAUUACAACACAACAUAUCCACAGCAAUGAAGGUCCUGUAUUUAGAGGGCAUGGCACUUCUAGGCACUGCUAUUGAAAUUAGUCUUGAUUGUUUUAAUGAUAAUGUUGAAGAAUAUGUUUGCUUGCACAUUAUAAGUUCAAAAUAUUCAGUGUUAUUUGAAUUUUCUGCUUUCUGCUGCCUCCUCAAAAAAUAGAAGAACAUAACUAGGUUGCUAAAGCAAUUUACCCAAGUAUUAUCCCUAGCUUUGGUAGUAACACAAAUGAAAGGAUUUUGGACACCCACCCUUUCUUUAUUUAUUUUAAACCAUGC
This is a long non-coding RNA of Esox lucius (northern pike), 1552 nucleotides long. The record is from Ensembl. NCBI's taxonomy places the organism in Eukaryota, Metazoa, Chordata, Actinopteri, Esociformes, Esocidae.